RNAcentral lists this ribosomal RNA (744 nucleotides) under uncultured bacterium. RNAcentral describes it as "bacterial SSU rRNA". It matches the Rfam family "Bacterial small subunit ribosomal RNA", at positions 8 to 796 of the family's 1533-position model. The record is from RNAcentral.
AGAGUUUGAUCAUGGCUCAGAACGAACGCUGGCGGCAGGCUUAACACAUGCAAGUCGAACGCGUGUAGCAAUACACGAGUGGCGCACGGGUGAGUAACGCGUGGAUAUCUGCCUUUUGGUUCGGAAUAACCCCGGGAAACUGGGGCUAAUACCGGAUGGUUCCUUCGGGAUAAAGAUUUAUCGCCAAAAGAUGAGUCCGCGUACGAUUAGCUAGUUGGUGAGGUAAUGGCUCACCAAGGCGACGAUCGUUAGCUGGUCUGAGAGGACGAUCAGCCACACUGGGACUGAGACACGGCCCAGACUCCUACGGGAGGCAGCAGUGGGGAAUAUUGGACAAUGGGGGCAACCCUGAUCCAGCCAUGCCGCGUGAGUGAUGAAGGCCUUCGGGUUGUAAAGCUCUUUUGGCGGGGACGAUGAUGACGGUACCCGCAGAAUAAGCCCCGGCUAACUUCGUGCCAGCAGCCGCGGUAAGACGAAGGGGGCUAGCGUUGUUCGGAAUUACUGGGCGUAAAGCGAGUGUAGGCGGUUGCCCAAGUCAGGUGUGAAAGCCUUGAGCUCAACUCAAGAAAUGCACUUGGUACUGGGUGGCUAGAGGACCGGAGAGGAUAGUGGAAUUCCCAGUGUAGUGGUGAAAUACGUAGAGAUUGGGAAGAACACCAGUGGCGAAGGCGGCUAUCUGGACGGUUACUGACGCUAAGACUCGAAAGCGUGGGGAGCAAACAGGAUUAGAUACCCUAGUAGUCC